RNAcentral lists this transfer RNA (65 nucleotides) under Libiocoris heissi. RNAcentral describes it as "tRNA-Cys". Lineage: Eukaryota; Metazoa; Arthropoda; Insecta; Hemiptera; Aradidae. The record is from RNAcentral.
GGCUUUAUAGUCAAGUUUAUGAUGUAGGAUUGCAAGUCUUAAGUAGUGAUUAACCACUAAAGCUU